CAGCAUAGGAUUUAGUCAGUCGAACAGCAUCACAAGACUGGAGAAGUCAAGAAGAAACUCCUGAGAAUAAUUUCAACCUUGAGCAGACUGAAAUGGACGUCACUCAGAUAGCCUCUAUAAGUCAAACCUCAAACGGUCGCAAAGUAAAUUUUGCAACUGUAGUCAGCGGCCUGCUGAUAUCUUCAGUUCAAGGGACAUUCUUCAUGAUGAAGAAGAAGGUUAUUGAAUAUCUGUGGAAGUCGAAGUCAUGAACUACUGCAAUCAGCAGCAUGGAUACAGAAGCAACGGAGUUCAGAUAAUGUGAAAUGAAAUUGAAAUGAAAUGCUUAUCUGUCAGUGUAUCCAAACAUUUAUAAUUCUACAAUUAUUAAACAACUACUGUUUAAGAUAAAUGAGUGUUUUUAACUUUCAGUUUCUUUCAACGCUGAUUAAUUUAAAAUCUGCAUAA
This is a long non-coding RNA of Carassius gibelio (silver crucian carp), 447 nucleotides long. RefSeq lists it as uncharacterized. NCBI's taxonomy places the organism in Eukaryota, Metazoa, Chordata, Actinopteri, Cypriniformes, Cyprinidae. The record is from RefSeq and is a predicted model, not a curated record. The transcript is spliced from 3 exons.